GCCAGAUUUGUCAACCUUGUCUCACUCAUGGUUGAGCGAAAGAAUUUUUUUUAUCAAUUUUAAUUUGGAAAAACUUCUUUCACAUGAAGCAAUAGACACACAGAGAGUCAAAAAGAAUCUUAAACACAGUGACAAAUUUGGCAGAGAUUCACAAUAAUCCCAUUUAACAAUGAACUCCAGGAACUGCAAUGCCGUCCAUUUCUUUGCUUCUUCAACAC
Pelobates cultripes (western spadefoot toad) is the source of this 218-nucleotide non-coding RNA. Lineage: Eukaryota; Metazoa; Chordata; Amphibia; Anura; Pelobatidae. The record is from the annotation of a GenBank genome assembly.